Molecule: ribosomal RNA, 253 nt
Filed under: uncultured bacterium
Lineage: Bacteria
Description: partial 16S ribosomal RNA
Rfam family: Bacterial small subunit ribosomal RNA
Source: RNAcentral
UACGAGGGGUGCAAGCGUUGCUCGGAAUUAUUGGGCGUAAAGGGUAGGUAGGUGGUCUCGUUUGUCUGGGGUGAAAGCCUUGAGCUUAACUCAAGAAGUGCCCUAGAAACGGCGAGACUAGAGUCCUGGAGAGGGUCGUGGAAUUCCCGGUGUAGCGGUGAAAUGCGUAGAGAUCGGGAGGAACACCAGAGGCGAAGGCGGCGACCUGGACAGGUACUGACACUCAACUACGAAAGCGUGGGGAGCAAACAGG